Molecule: ribosomal RNA, 119 nt
Filed under: Helianthus annuus (common sunflower)
Lineage: Eukaryota; Viridiplantae; Streptophyta; Magnoliopsida; Asterales; Asteraceae
Source: RNAcentral
GGUUGCGUUCAUACCAGCACUAAUGCACCGGAUCCCAUCAGAACUCCGCAGUUAAGCGUGCUUGGGCGAGAGUAGUACUAGGAUGGGUGACCCCCUGGGAAGUCCUCGUGUUGCAACCC